CAGAGUUGCAAGACUCCCUAAAACCAUUGUGAACCUACCUUCUACCGUUGCUUCGGCGGGCGGGCCCAGCGCCCCCCCGGCCCCCCGCGGGCGCCCGCCGGAGGAUACCCAAACUCUUGACAUUAGUGGCCUCUCUGAGUAUUCUUUACUGAAUAAGUCA
This 160-nucleotide unclassified non-coding RNA is filed under the name soil metagenome. RNAcentral's name for it is "partial internal transcribed spacer 1". The record is from RNAcentral.